UAAAAAAUUAAAUAAAGCAUUAAAUGGAUACCUUAACAUCAAAAAUUUAGCGGACGUAGUUAGUACGAAAGUGUUAAACAAUUGUUUAAUUUUCCGCAAUCGAAAAAUCGAAUUUCAUUUUAAAGAAAUGUAUUUAACUUAAUAAAGUUAGGUAUAAAAUUUAGUGAACUGAAUCAUCUAAGUAACUAAUUCAAUGAAAAAUCAACCGAGAAUCUGAAAGUAGUGGCGAGCGAAAUUAGAUAAAGACAAAGAACUUUGUAAAUUUUAGAAUAAACAAAAGCCAAAGAAGGAUACCUAAAAGGCAGCCCUGUAUAAAAUGUAAAAAGUUCUUAUAAGUAAAACGGUACAAGUCACGUGCUGUUUGAAUAUUGAGGAACCAUCCUCAAAGUCUAAAAUUUUUGAUGCUUGAUAGUGAAGAAGUACCGUGAGGGAAAGGUGAAAAAGAUACGUGCGAUAGGAACGAUUUAAAUAGUAUUGAAAUUUAAUGCUGACAAGCAGUUAAAGCUUAUUAAAAAGUAAUAGCGUACCUUUUGCAUAAUGGACCAAUAAGUUUAUUUUAGUGGCGAGCUUAAAUAGAAUUAAUAAUAUGUAGGCGAAAAAAAUUUAAGUAUUAAAAUGUGCGUUUUAGUCUCUGAAAUAAAACCCGAAACUAAGUGAUCUAACCAUGAGCAGGCUGAAUUUUAAAUUUCGAUUUAAUGGAGGGCCGAACCCGUGUAUGUGGAAAAAUACUGGGAUGACUUGUGGUUAGGAGUGAAAGGCUAAUCAAACUUAGAGAUAGCUGGUUUUCUGCGAAAUCUAUUUUAGUAGAGCGUUUGAGAUUAUUCUUUUUUUGGGGUAGAGCUCUCAAUAAAUUAUGGGGAUGAUAAUCUUACUGACUUUAAUGAAACUUCGAAUACAAAAAAAAGUUAUCAAGCAGACAAACAAUGAGUGCUAAGAUUCAUUGUUGAGAGGGAAACAGCCCAGACUACUAGUUAAAGUCCUUAAAUACAAUUAAGUGUAAAAAGUGUGAAAAAGUGUUGACAGUCGAAAGGUAGGCUUAGAAGCAGCCAUCCUUUAAAGAAAGCGUAACAGCUCAUUGAUAGAGCUUUUUUGCAUUGAAAAUUUAUAGGGACUUAAAUUGUUUGACUGAAACUGUAGAUUUUACAAAAACUUUUGUAAAAUGGUAGCAGAACGUUCUGUAAGUUUAAGAAGGUUUAUGGUUACAUAAAUUGGAAAAAUCAGAAGCGAUAAUAUUGGUAUGAGUAACGAUAAACAAUGUGAAAAACAUUGUCACCUUAAGUUCAAGGUUUCCGAUAACAAGGUUAAUCCGUUUCGGCUUAGUCGGUCUCUAAAAAAAAAACGAAAGUUUUAGUUGAUGAGAAAAAAGAAAAAUAUCUUUUUUUGAUUUUAAGUGACAAAAUAUAAAAACAAUUUUUAUUGUAAUUUAUGGUAAAUAAGAGUUGUAUAGUAUUUUCAAGAAAUAGCUUAAAAAUCUUUUAAACCGUACUCAAUCUGACACAAGUGAACUAGUUUAGUAAAUUAAGGUGCUUGAGAGAAUUGCGUUGAAGGAACUCGGCAAAAUGACUCCGUAACUUCGGAAUAAGGAGUGACUUUCUAAGGGAAACCUUGAAAGUUGUCACAAAAUCGGGGGCAGCGACUGUUUACUAAAAACACAGGUUUCUGCUAAUUCGUAAGAAGAUGUAUAGAAACUGACGCCUGCCCAGUGCUGCAAGAUUAAAGGAAAUUGUUUUUAGCUUUUUCCCUAAACCCCAGUAAACGGCGGCUGUAACUCUGACGGUCCUAAGGUAGCAAAAUUCCUUGGCAUUUAAUUGGUGUCCUGCAUGAAUGGCGUAACGACUGCCCCGCUGUCUCCAGCGCAAACUCAGUGAAAUUGGAUUUUCCGUGAAGAUACGGAAUUUUUACGGCUAGACGGAAAGACCCCGUGCACCUUUACUAUAAUUAUAUAUUGUAUUAGAAAUUUGUGUGUGUAGAAUAAGUGGUAAGUUGAUUUUCUAAAUUUAGAAAAAAAGUUUGAUUGCGCUAGCAAAUUAUUCAAGUAACGCUCUUUGAAAUACCACUCUCAUAAAUUUUUAAUACUUAUUUUAUUAGACAGUGUGUAAUUGUUAGUUUGACUGGGGCGGUCGCCUCCUAAAGAGUAACGGAGGCGUGCAUAUGGUAAAUUUGAAUUGAAUAUCUCAAUUUUUAAGCGUAAUAGUAUAAAUAUUUGCCUGACUGUAAGAUUGACAAAUCAAGCAGGGACGAAAGUCGGUUAUAGUGAUCCGGUGAUUCUGAAUGGAAAAGGUCAUCGCUCAACGAAUAAAAGGUACGCCGGGGAUAACAGGCUAAUCACUCCCUAGAGACCCUAUCGACGGGGUGGUUUGGCACCUCGAUGUUGGAUUAUCGCAUCCUGGAGCUGUAAUCGGUUCCAAGGGUUUGGCUGUUCGCCAAGGAAGGCGGUACAUGAUCUGAGUUUAGAACGUUGUGAAACAGUUUGGUCCCUAUCUACCGUAAAUGAAAAAAACUGAAAGGAGUAGACCUUAGUACGAGAGGACCGGAAAAAGCGAAUCCAUGGUUUAUCGGUUGUUAUACCAUUGUCAUCGCCGAGUAGCUACAUUCGUAAUAAAUAAUCGCUGAAUGCAUUUAAGUGAGAAAUUAACCUUAAAACGAGUUUUUGAAACAAUGUAAUAGAUGAUUACAUAAAUAGGCUUAACGUGUAAGAGUUGUAAGAUUUUUAGCGUAUAAGUACUAAAUAAUAAAAUUUUUUGACAUUUUUGU
RNAcentral lists this ribosomal RNA (2754 nucleotides) under Navicula ramosissima. Its description in RNAcentral is "23S ribosomal RNA". It matches the Rfam family "Bacterial large subunit ribosomal RNA". Lineage: Eukaryota; Bacillariophyta; Bacillariophyceae; Naviculales; Naviculaceae. The record is from RNAcentral.